CUGGAUUCUUGAAAUCGGAAAAGCAAAGUGGUUACAUUACUUCGUAUGUUUUCUUAAACUCUCGAUGACAGGAGCACCAAUUGUCAGAUUUGGGACAAAAUGCCUUACCAUAAUAUCCAUGUGAAGCCAAUCCGCACCAAAUUUAAGCAUUCGUUCGGCCUCCGAAGCUAAAUUAGCAAAAUCUGAGGAUAGCAUUGAGGGUGCGAUUUUCGCAGCGACUCCCAUUUUCGUCUACCUCGUCCUCGCUUAGCCGAUCAAAAACUGAAGCGAUUGAACUGCGAGGAAUUUGCAGAUACA
Molecule: long non-coding RNA, 297 nt
Organism: Cucumis melo (muskmelon)
Lineage: Eukaryota; Viridiplantae; Streptophyta; Magnoliopsida; Cucurbitales; Cucurbitaceae
Exons: 2
Source: RefSeq, a predicted model, not a curated record